Small nuclear RNA from Panthera leo (lion), 140 nucleotides. Its record names the gene U4. It matches the Rfam family "U4 spliceosomal RNA". From Rfam's summary of the family: U4 small nuclear RNA (U4 snRNA) is a component of the major U2-dependent spliceosome. The structure of U4 snRNA from yeast and human has been reported. NCBI's taxonomy places the organism in Eukaryota, Metazoa, Chordata, Mammalia, Carnivora, Felidae. The record is from Ensembl.
AACUUUGGGCAGUGGCACUGUUGGUGCCAAUGAGGUUUACAUGAAGCACCAUUAUUGCUGGUUGAAAACUUUUCUGGUUAUAAAUUCAUAUGUAGAAUUUGUAAAAUUAAAUUAAAAGUUUCUGUAAUUGGUCCAGGUUU